Schistosoma mansoni is the source of this 45-nucleotide non-coding RNA. The record is from Rfam. Lineage: Eukaryota; Metazoa; Platyhelminthes; Trematoda; Strigeidida; Schistosomatidae.
AUACAACUGACGAGUCCCGCAUAGGUUGAAACGUGCGUCCUGGAU